GCACUGGCGCUAACUAAAGUAAACACCUUUACUUUCCAGCUGCUGCUAAUUGGUUUGGGAAUAUUUAUGUAAGUGUUGAUUUUAAAGUUAAAAAUAGCACAGUGAUGUUUAAAUCCAGCUCAUUCUGGCUGUCAGAAAUGCUCCUGUGAUCCUGAAAGUGUUGCUAAAAAUGUUCACUUUUUAAAAAUUGUACUAAUUAAACUUGUCUGUUGUGAGAGCCACAUACGAUAGGUUCCCUGCUCUGAUAAUCAAAGAGGUAAAGGACAGACUUCUUAAAGGUCUUUGCCUGGCUAGCAAGACAAAACCUCCUGCUAAACUGUAUUAGGGAGCAAAGGAUUGUAAUGCGAACAAAAGAAAGAGUAAAUUUCAACAUAGCUUCAUUCCUUUAUAAUGCCACUGAUCGUAUC
This 407-nucleotide long non-coding RNA is filed under the name Bos taurus (domestic cattle). RNAcentral's name for it is "long non-coding RNA NONBTAT011503". Lineage: Eukaryota; Metazoa; Chordata; Mammalia; Artiodactyla; Bovidae. The record is from RNAcentral.